CCUACGGGUGGCAGCAGUGGGGGAUAUUGCACAAUGGGGGGAACCCUGAUGCAGCGACGCCGCGUGGGUGAAGAAGCGCCUCGGCGCGUAAAGCCCUGUCAGCAGGGGAGAAAAUGACGGUACCUGAAGAAGAAGCCCCGGCGAACUACGUGCCAGCAGCCGCGGGAAUACGGAGGGGACAAGCGGUAUCCGGAUUUACUGGGGGUAAAGGGGGAGCAGGCGGCGAUGCAAGCCAGGAGUGAAAGCCCGGGGCCCAACCCCGGGAUGGCUGUUGGAACUGGGGGGCUGGAGUGGAGGAGGGGCAGGCGGAAGUCGUGGUGUAGCGGUGAAAUGCGUAGAUAUCAGGAGGAACACCGGUGGCGAAGGCGGCCUGCUGGACUGCAACUGACGUUGAGGCCCGAAAGCGUGGGGAGCAAACAGGAUUAGAUACCCCUGUAGUC
RNAcentral lists this ribosomal RNA (440 nucleotides) under uncultured bacterium. RNAcentral describes it as "partial 16S ribosomal RNA". It matches the Rfam family "Bacterial small subunit ribosomal RNA", at positions 338 to 795 of the family's 1533-position model. The record is from RNAcentral.